UACGUAGGGGGCUAGCGUUGUCCGGAAUCAUUGGGCGUAAAGCGCGUGUAGGCGGUCCGGUAAGUCCGCUGUGAAAGUCGAGGGCUCAACCCUCGAAUGCCGGUGGAUACUGUCGGGCUAGAGUGCGGAAGAGGCGAGUGGAAUUCCUGGUGUAGCGGUGAAAUGCGCAGAUAUGUGGAGGAACACCGAUGGCGAAGGCAGCCCCCUGGGAUGUGACUGACGCUCAUGUACGAAAGCGUGGGGAGCAAACAGG
Molecule: ribosomal RNA, 253 nt
Filed under: uncultured bacterium
Lineage: Bacteria
Description: partial 16S ribosomal RNA
Rfam family: Bacterial small subunit ribosomal RNA
Source: RNAcentral